Molecule: long non-coding RNA, 2456 nt
Organism: Ostrea edulis (European flat oyster)
Lineage: Eukaryota; Metazoa; Mollusca; Bivalvia; Ostreida; Ostreidae
Exons: 3
Source: RefSeq, a predicted model, not a curated record
GGUAUCACACCGGUAAUUGUCCAAUCAAAAUGAACUUAGUCAAUUGUAGUUCCAUAUAUUUAAAGAAAUAUUUUUUUUCCUUGCGCGAUUUUUCUCAUUUCCUCUUCUUCUUUUCUCUUAAUUUUUGUACCCCUGAUUAGGAAAUUUUGUGUAAUUUGUAGAAAUAAUCAAGUGUAUACAAAGGAACUAUUUGCUGUUGGUAGCUGAGGCUACUUCCUGAGGUGCACUCCGGCUGUUUACACACAUGUGAAAAACACGUGGAUUUGAGGGUAGUCUUGUUUGCGGGUAAUUUUUUUUCGAAAAUGCCGCGUAGGGUGUUGUUUUUCUGGUGUCGGCAGACGAGAUAGGUAACACAGAACGUGUCUGACUGCGUUAUUCGGCAUCAAUUUUGUAAACUGAUUUUUAAUGAUUUUUUCCUCUCUAUAGUAAUAUAUAGUGAAAAUAAUUACCGGUGUGAUACCUUAUCUAAGCGAUCGUAGAUCGUAAACGUACGAUUACGUUUAAGGUAGCGACGGAUAGCAACCACGUGAUCAGUAAAAAUUGUGUAUUUUCACGUGAAUUCAUUUUCCGGAAUUCCUUACUCCGUCAUAGAAUAGUCGAAAAACAAAAAGGGGUUCCGAAAGUGUUUUGUUGCUGUGACUGACUGACUCGCCUACAGAAAAUAUGCACAUACCACAUAAGUAUACGUCAAUGUCUGUAAUAAUGGUAGAUCAAAUGUUUCAUCUGUGUGAAACUUAUUGCUAAUCGAAAUGUUAAACCCACCACCAAUCCAUGUACAUAGAUGCGCUACGUAAACAAAGUUGUUGAUUGAUGCAUCGUAAUGUCCGAGUACGCGAGUGCUGCAUGCUGAGAGAUUAAAUACUGUUUAUACAGUCAUUGAGAGGCUAAACAAAGUUUCUUGCAAGAAGAGGAAGUUGGUGGAUGCAUUGAACUUGGACAACGAAAUCAUAGUUUCGUUUGGCAUCAGCCUGAAGACCGAGGGAGGUUAGAUAGGACCAGUGCAGGUUGAAGUGGAUUUCGAGUCAACAAGUAUAACAGCAAGAGAGGUACUCCAUUUACAGUGAUGAUGACAUAUCUCCUGGACCCCCACAACUCCACAAAUUUAAAAAUGUUUGAUCAAGUUCCGAAGAUUAAAGAACUACUGCAAAAUUUGGGACUGGAUGAAAAACAUUAAUUCACUUAUAUGAGCUCAGAGCAGUGGAUGUUAUACAACAUACUUUAAACUAAAUUGUGAAUUUAAGGGAAAACAAGUACAUGUACUCGUAUAUUACAAGUACAUGCCUUUUGAAAGACAAUAAUAUUGCAUAGAUGUAAAGGAAAUUUCAAUGUUGAUUAUUCUUUCUUAGAUAUAUUAGUAAAAAAUGUGCACAUGAUAGAAUAUCAAUUUUAUAACUUCAAUCAAUGUGUUUGAAUUUUCCUUGUAAUUCAAAAUUUAGUUGAAACAUACAUCAUAGAUACAUUAAUGUAUAUCAAAUUUUUAGAAAAGUUUCAUAAUGGAACUAAUUCACCCCCCACCCCCCCCCCCACCCCCCCACCCCCUUAUACAUACAGUGAACAUAGACCUUCACCUGGGGAAAACUUCAGUUAGUUAAUGAAAUAUACAUGUACAUGCAUUCUCAGUUAUCCAAUAGUGAGUUUUUGGUUCCAUGUGAAACUACAAUUAGAAAUCUUAAACUUAUGAAAGACACACCUAUCUGUGAGGGUAAUAUGACUCAGAUGGACUUAAAUGUAGUGAUCCAUGGGCAGCCCAUGGGUCUCUUUCCAUUGAUAUUAAUUACUUAUUGAAAUAUGAAAUGGUUAUUUAAACAUAUUUGGUGUAUUAUACUGUAUAGUGAUAUAAAUUUCUAUCAAAAAAUAUGUAUAGGUAAUAGAUUUGGUCCAGUUAUUACAAGAAAUUGUAUGAAAAAUUACUAGAUAUUUAGGCAAUCAUUGUGAGUGCGAAAAGGUCAACUGCAAUAGCACACACUAUAUACCAUUCUUAAAUGGCUCAUAGAAACUUCUAGUAUUGUGAGUUUGAAUGCUCAAUAUGGUAAUUUGGGAAUGCUUAAUCAUUUAAGGUCAAUAGUUUAUCUCUGUUGACUGUAUCUCUUAAAAUUCAUUUCUAGAAGGGAGGGGGUAGGGUUACAAAUUCUGACAUAGUUUCAGAUUAAACCUCAUUUGGUAUAUUUUUUUCUAUUCAAUAUUUUAGAUACUAGUUGACUUAUUGUAAAAAUGAAAUAAAAUCAGAAAUUUUAUGAGCAGAAUUUUGUUGUUGUCAGAAAAUGUAUGCCUGAUAGUAUUUGAGAAACGCCAUAUUUAGGGUAAAUUUGGCCAAUUGCCAAGUCGAAUCAUGCCAAUGUUUUCCUUAGAUGCAUUUUGAAUUUCUAAUCCAUGUUGAUUUUUUAUCUGUUUGUGUUUAAUUUACAUAACUAUAUAUGACAAACAAUAUUUCUGGUGUCAAUAAAAUUUUUAUUGGC